This 324-nucleotide ribosomal RNA is filed under the name uncultured eukaryote. RNAcentral describes it as "partial 18S ribosomal RNA". It matches the Rfam family "Eukaryotic small subunit ribosomal RNA", at positions 1470 to 1796 of the family's 1831-position model. The record is from RNAcentral.
GCCUUAGAUGUUCUGGGCCGCACGCGCGCUACACUGAUGCAUUCAACGAGUUUCUUCCUGGUCCGAGAGGAAUGGGUAACCUUUUGAAAGUGCAUCGUGAUAGGGAUAGACUAUUGCAAUUAUUGGUCUUCAACGAGGAAUUCCUAGUAGACGUAGUUCAUCAGACUGCAUCGAUUACGUCCCUGCCCUUUGUACACACCGCCCGUCGCUCCUACCGAUUGAAUGCUCAGGUGAGCCAUUCGGACUUUCAUCAUGCUGGUUUCCAGUUUUGAUGAAGGAAAGUCUUGCGAACCUUAUCAUUUAGAGGAAGGAGAAGUCGUAACA